GCACGUUUUACUUUCCACUGGUGUGAUCAUUUGGCACUGUCUUUGUUCCUUCUAUUGGCCUGGAGGAUGUCAUGGCACAUGUAGAACCCCCUACUAAAUUCACCCAACAAGCCUGAAGUAAUAGCUAGCAAAGCCUGUUCACUUCACCAAGCACUGAAAUGUCUCUCCUGAGAAAAGCUGUCCUCCCAAACAGGAUGGCCUUGGACAUGAUUACUGCUUGCAGGAUGUGCCUGUGCCAUUAUUCAGACAGAAUGCCAGGAAGCCACCAAAGCAGCCACCUCCAUGCUCCUGAAACCCCUUGCUGACUGCUCAGGGCACAUAGUGGAAGAUGUGGGUGUGUAAGAUCCUAAGACUGUCAUCAGGGGUGGAACGUCAGAAGAGGUCAUUGAGAGGACAUGAUGUGGGAGCUGUUUCCAGUGACUCAGGCUUGAGGAAGCACUGUGCUAAUGUGUUGGGAGGAAGCACUGUGCUAAUGUGUUGGGAGGAAGCACUGUGCUAAUGUGUAUGUGACCACCCCGGCGAAGGCCUCUCAACCUUUAAGAUGCUGGCAGGUGAU
Long non-coding RNA from Suricata suricatta (meerkat), 556 nucleotides. RefSeq lists it as uncharacterized. Lineage: Eukaryota; Metazoa; Chordata; Mammalia; Carnivora; Herpestidae. The transcript is spliced from 3 exons. The record is from RefSeq and is a predicted model, not a curated record.